AACGCGAAGAACCUUACCCAGGUUAGAAGUGCAGUGGAAGUUGCCAGAGAUGGCAACGCUCGUAAGGGCCGCUGUAUAGGUGCUGCAUGGCUGUCGUCAGCUCGUGCCGUGAGGUGUUGGGUUAAGUCCCGCAACGAGCGCAACCCUUAUCAUUAGUUGCCAACACGUAAUGGUGGGAACUCUAGUGAGACUGCCUAGGUUAACUAGGAGGAAGGUGAGGAUGAUGUCAAGUCCGCAUGGCCUUUAUGUCUGGGGCUACACACGUGCUACAAUGGUCGGUACAGAAGGAAGCGAAAUCGCAAGGUGAAGCAAAUCCCUAAAGCCGAUCUCAGUUCGGAUUGUAGUCUGCAACUCGGCUACAUGAAGUCGGAAUUGCUAGUAAUGGCGUGUCAGCAACAGCGCCGUGAAUACGUUCCCGGGCCUGUACACACCGGAGUA
This 438-nucleotide ribosomal RNA is filed under the name uncultured bacterium. Its description in RNAcentral is "bacterial SSU rRNA". It matches the Rfam family "Bacterial small subunit ribosomal RNA", at positions 958 to 1398 of the family's 1533-position model. The record is from RNAcentral.